This is a transfer RNA of Camelus ferus (Wild Bactrian camel), 74 nucleotides long. It matches the Rfam family "tRNA". Rfam says of the family: Transfer RNA (tRNA) molecules are approximately 80 nucleotides in length. Their secondary structure includes four short double-helical elements and three loops (D, anti-codon, and T loops). NCBI's taxonomy places the organism in Eukaryota, Metazoa, Chordata, Mammalia, Artiodactyla, Camelidae. The record is from Rfam.
GAGGAUAUAGCUCAAAGUGGUAGAGCACAUGCUUAGCAUGCACGAGGUCCUGGGUUCAAUCCCUAGUACCUCCU